RNAcentral lists this ribosomal RNA (118 nucleotides) under Pteropus vampyrus (large flying fox). The record is from RNAcentral. Lineage: Eukaryota; Metazoa; Chordata; Mammalia; Chiroptera; Pteropodidae.
GUCUAUAGCCAUGCAACCCAGAACAAGCGCAAUCCCGUCUGAUCUUGGAAGCUAAGCAGGAUCAGGCCUGUUAGUACUUGGAUGGGAAACCACCUAGGAAGAUCAGAUGCCGUAGGCA